GUCAGAUGUGGUGGCAGGCAUCUGUAGUCCCAGCUACUCAGGAGGCUGAGGCAGGAGGAUGGCUUGAGCCCAGGAGUUUGAGGCUGCAGUGAGCUUUCUUGCACCACUGCACUCCAACCUGGGCAACAGAGCAAGACCCUGUCUCUU
Molecule: unclassified non-coding RNA, 147 nt
Organism: Pongo abelii (Sumatran orangutan)
Lineage: Eukaryota; Metazoa; Chordata; Mammalia; Primates; Hominidae
Rfam family: Metazoan signal recognition particle RNA
About the family: The signal recognition particle (SRP) is a universally conserved ribonucleoprotein. It is involved in the co-translational targeting of proteins to membranes.
Source: Ensembl